Small nucleolar RNA from Rhododendron vialii, 90 nucleotides. NCBI's taxonomy places the organism in Eukaryota, Viridiplantae, Streptophyta, Magnoliopsida, Ericales, Ericaceae. The record is from RefSeq and is a predicted model, not a curated record.
UCUCUGUGAUGAUUAAAAUGAUGACGAGUCUGAUCUCUAUUUAUCCAUUCCGUUCACCCAUGACGACAAUGAGGCAUUUGUCUGAGAGAA